CCUUACCUGGCCUUGACAUACUAAGAACUUUCCAGAGAUGGAUUGGUGCCUUCGGGAACUUAGAUACAGGUGCUGCAUGGCUGUCGUCAGCUCGUGUCGUGAGAUGUUGGGUUAAGUCCCGCAACGAGCGCAACCCUUUUCCUUAUUUGCCAGCGGGUUAAGCCGGGAACUUUAAGGAUACUGCCAGUGACAAACUGGAGGAAGGCGGGGACGACGUCAAGUCAUCAUGGCCCUUACGGCCAGGGCUACACACGUGCUACAAUGGUCGGUACAAAGGGUUGCUACCUCGCAAGAGGAUGCUAAUCUCAAAAAGCCGAUCGUAGUCCGGAUCGCAGUCUGCAACUCGACUGCGUGAAGUCGGAAUCGCUAGUAAUCGCGGAUCAGAAUGCCGCGGUGAAUACGUUCCCGGGCCUUGUACACACCGCCCGUCACACCAUGGGAGUUUGUUGCACCAGAAGUAGGUAGUCUAACCGCAAGGAGGACGCUUACCACGGUGUGGCCGAUGACUGGGGUGAAGUCGUAACAAGGUAAGCGUAGAUGA
RNAcentral lists this ribosomal RNA (541 nucleotides) under uncultured bacterium. Its description in RNAcentral is "bacterial SSU rRNA". It matches the Rfam family "Bacterial small subunit ribosomal RNA", at positions 969 to 1509 of the family's 1533-position model. The record is from RNAcentral.